This 255-nucleotide ribosomal RNA is filed under the name uncultured bacterium. Its description in RNAcentral is "partial small subunit ribosomal RNA". It matches the Rfam family "Bacterial small subunit ribosomal RNA", at positions 26 to 286 of the family's 1533-position model. The record is from RNAcentral.
AGGACGAACGCUGGCGGCGUGCUUAACACAUGCAAGUCGAGCGGAAAGGCCCUUCGGGGUACUCGAGCGGCGAACGGGUGAGUAACACGUGAGCAACCUGCCCUUAGCUUCGGGAUAGCUCCGGGAAACCGGAAUUAAUACCGAAUAUGACUUUGGCUGACAUCAGCAGAAGUGGAAAGUUUUUCGGCUAGGGAUGGACUCGCGGCCUAUCAGCUAGUUGGUGAGGUAACGGCCCACCAAGGCGACGACGGGUAG